This 247-nucleotide unclassified non-coding RNA is filed under the name uncultured Lasiosphaeriaceae. RNAcentral describes it as "sequence contains ITS2". The stretch from base 1 to 52 matches the Rfam family "5.8S ribosomal RNA", at positions 103 to 154 of the family's 154-position model. Lineage: Eukaryota; Fungi; Ascomycota; Sordariomycetes; Sordariales; Lasiosphaeriaceae. The record is from RNAcentral.
AACGCACAUUGCGCCCGCCAGUAUUCUGGCGGGCAUGCCUGUUCGAGCGUCAUUUCAACCAUCAAGCCCCUGCGCUUGUGUUGGAGCCCUGCGGCUGCCGCAGGCUCCCAAACCCAGUGGCGGGCUCGUCGUCGUACCGAGUGCAGUAAACUUACCACGCUCAGGGCACGCGACGGGUGACCGGCCGUAAAACCCCCCCUUUCUCAAGGUUGACCUCGGAUCAGGUAGGAAUACCCGCUGAACUUAA